Molecule: long non-coding RNA, 389 nt
Organism: Oncorhynchus tshawytscha (Chinook salmon)
Lineage: Eukaryota; Metazoa; Chordata; Actinopteri; Salmoniformes; Salmonidae
Source: Ensembl
GGGUGAUUGUCCCAGGUACACUCUGUAUCCGUCCCAGCCAGGGUGAUUGUCCCAGGUCCACUCUGUAUCCGUCCCAGCCAGGGUGAUUGUCCCAGGUCCACUCUGUAUCCGUCCCAGCCAGGUGAUAGUCCCAGGUCCACUCUGUAUCCGUCCCAGCCAGGUGAUAGUCCCAGGUCCACUCUGUAUCCGUCCCAGCCAGGUGAUAGUCCCAGGUACACUCUGUAUCCGUCCCAGCCAGGUGAUUGUCCCAGGUCCACUCUGUAUCCGUCCCAGCCAGGGUGAUUGUCCCAGGUCCACUCUGUAUCCGUCCCAGCCAGGUGAUAGUCCCAGGUCCACUCUGUAUCCGUCCCAGCCAGGUGAUAGUCCCAGGUCCACUCUGUAUCCGUCCC